ACGCUGGCGGCAGGCCUAACACAUGCAAGUCGAGCGGUAGAGAGAAGCUUGCUUCUCUUGAGAGCGGCGGACGGGUGAGUAAUGCCUAGGAAUCUGCCUGGUAGUGGGGGAUAACGUUCGGAAACGGACGCUAAUACCGCAUACGUCCUACGGGAGAAAGCAGGGGACCUUCGGGCCUUGCGCUAUCAGAUGAGCCUAGGUCGGAUUAGCUAGUUGGUGGGGUAAUGGCUCACCAAGGCGACGAUCCGUAACUGGUCUGAGAGGAUGAUCAGUCACACUGGAACUGAGACACGGUCCAGACUCCUACGGGAGGCAGCAGUGGGGAAUAUUGGACAAUGGGCGAAAGCCUGAUCCAGCCAUGCCGCGUGUGUGAAGAAGGUCUUCGGAUUGUAAAGCACUUUAAGUUGGGAGGAAGGGUUGUAGAUUAAUACUCUGCAAUUUUGACGUUACCGACAGAAUAAGCACCGGCUAACUCUGUGCCAGCAGCCGCGGUAAUACAGAGGGUGCAAGCGUUAAUCGGAAUUACUGGGCGUAAAGCGCGCGUAGGUGGUUUGUUAAGUUGGAUGUGAAAUCUCCGGGCUCAACCUGGGAACUGCAUUCAAAACUGACUGACUAGAGUAUGGUAGAGGGUGGUGGAAUUUCCUGUGUAGCGGUGAAAUGCGUAGAUAUAGGAAGGAACACCAGUGGCGAAGGCGACCACCUGGACUGAUACUGACACUGAGGUGCGAAAGCGUGGGGAGCAAACAGGA
Molecule: ribosomal RNA, 749 nt
Filed under: uncultured bacterium
Lineage: Bacteria
Description: bacterial SSU rRNA
Rfam family: Bacterial small subunit ribosomal RNA
Source: RNAcentral